ACGGGAGGCAGCAGUGGGGAAUAUUUGGCAAUGGGCGAAAGCCUGACCCAGCAACGCCGCGUGAAGGAAGAAGGUCUUCGGAUUGUAAACUUCUUUUAUGAGGGACGAAGGACGUGACGGUACCUCAUGAAUAAGCCACGGCUAACUACGUGCCAGCAGCCGCGGUAAUACGUAGGUGGCAAGCGUUAUCCGGAUUUACUGGGUGUAAAGGGCGCGUAGGCGGGUAUGCAAGUCAGCUGUGAAAUCUAUGGGCUUAACUCAUAAACUGCAUUUGAAACUGUAUCUCUUGGGUGCUGGAGAGGUAGAUGGAAUUCCUUGUGUAGCGGUGAAAUGCGUAGAUAUAAGGAAGAACACCAGUGGCGAAGGCGAUCUACUGGACAGUAAAUGACGCUGGGGCGCGAGAGCGUGGGGAGCAAACAGGAUUAGAUACCCUGGUA
The sequence is a ribosomal RNA, 437 nucleotides long. It matches the Rfam family "Bacterial small subunit ribosomal RNA", at positions 341 to 792 of the family's 1533-position model.